CUACGGGGGGCUGCAGUGAGGAAUAUUGCACAAUGGGGGAACCCUGAUGCAGCAACGCCGCGUGGAGGAUGACGCAUUUCGGUGUGUAAACUCCUUUUAUAUGUCAAGAAAAUGACGGUAGCAUAUGAAUAAGCACCGGCUAACUCCGUGCCAGCAGCCGCGGUAAUACGGAGGGUGCAAGCGUUACUCGGAAUCACUGGGCGUAAAGGACGCGUAGGCGGGUUGGAAAGUCAGGUGUGAAAUCCUACAGCUUAACUGUAGAACUGCACUUGAAACUUCUAAUCUAGAGUAUGGGAGGGGGAGAUGGAAUUAGGGGUGUAGGGGUAAAAUCCGUAGAUAUCACUAGGAAUACCUAAAGCGAAGGCGAUCUCCUGGAACAUUACUGACGCUAAGGCGUGAAAGCGUGGGGAGCAAACAGGAUUAGAUACCCGAGUAGUC
Molecule: ribosomal RNA, 438 nt
Filed under: uncultured bacterium
Lineage: Bacteria
Description: partial 16S ribosomal RNA
Rfam family: Bacterial small subunit ribosomal RNA
Source: RNAcentral